RNAcentral lists this ribosomal RNA (253 nucleotides) under uncultured bacterium. Its description in RNAcentral is "partial 16S ribosomal RNA". It matches the Rfam family "Bacterial small subunit ribosomal RNA", at positions 524 to 776 of the family's 1533-position model. The record is from RNAcentral.
GACAGAGGGUGCAACCGUUGUUCGGAAUUACUGGGCGUAAAGCGCGUGUAGGCGGCCCUGCAAGUCGGGUGUGAAAUCCCACGGCUCAACCGUGGAAGUGCAUUCGAAACUGCAGGGCUAGAGUCCUGGAGAGGAAGGUGGAAUGCUUGGUGUAGAGGUGAAAUUCGUAGAUAUCAAGCGGAACACCGGUGGCGAAGGCGGCCUUCUGGACAGUGACUGACGCUGAGACGCGAAAGCGUGGGGAGCAAACAGG